CCUACGGGGGGCUGCAGUGGGGAAUAUUGGACAAUGGGCGAAAGCCUGAUCCAGCCAUGCCGCGUGUGUGAAGAAGGCCUUCGGGUUGUAAAGCACUUUCAGUGGGGAAGAAAGCCUUGGGGCUAAUACCCUCGAGGAAGGACAUCACCCACAGAAGAAGCACCGGCUAACUCCGUGCCAGCAGCCGCGGUAAUACGGAGGGUGCGAGCGUUAAUCGGAAUUACUGGGCGUAAAGCGCGCGUAGGCGGUCUGAUAAGCCGGUUGUGAAAGCCCCGGGCUCAACCUGGGAACGGCAUCCGGAACUGUCAGGCUAGAGUGCAGGAGAGGAAGGUAGAAUUCCCGGUGUAGCGGUGAAAUGCGUAGAGAGCGGGAGGAAUACCAGUGGCGAAGGCGGCCUUCUGGACUGACACUGACGCUGAGGUGCGAAAGCGUGGGUAGCAAACAGGAUUAGAUACCCGGGUAGUC
Molecule: ribosomal RNA, 465 nt
Filed under: Vreelandella stevensii
Lineage: Bacteria; Pseudomonadati; Pseudomonadota; Gammaproteobacteria; Oceanospirillales; Halomonadaceae
Description: partial 16S ribosomal RNA
Rfam family: Bacterial small subunit ribosomal RNA
Source: RNAcentral